Long non-coding RNA from Callorhinus ursinus (northern fur seal), 594 nucleotides. RefSeq lists it as uncharacterized. The record is from RefSeq and is a predicted model, not a curated record. Lineage: Eukaryota; Metazoa; Chordata; Mammalia; Carnivora; Otariidae.
GGGCAGCCCCGCAGGCGGAUGUGCUGCGUCCCUGGUCCUACCGUACUCAGUUUGAGGAGUCUCCUGCCGCCCCACCCGCAGCCCUGGGCUGCAGCAGAGCGGGUUGGUGUGUGUCAGGUUAUGUGAAUACAGACUUACCUUUUCUUGGAGGCUGUGGACUGUUAAAUUCAUCAAUAACAGUACCCUGUGUUUGUAUGAGGAAGUGCUUAGAUCCUACUGAGAUGCCCCUGAGGUAUACCACAGAUGUCUUCUUUAGUCUGAUUUCUAAUUCAGCUGAGCCCUGGGGCCUGGAAGUGGGAAAUGGAACACAAGCCAGAAGAGAGACAGCUCCUUCUUUCUCCAGCUUUCUGUCUCCUGGGAGGUACAUGCCUGUCUUCUCUCUGUCAGCCAUCAUCUCCUGCUCAGUUACCAACUUCUUAAAGGCCACAGUUGGAUAUUCUUCAUCUCAAGAAAAGGGAUUGUUUGGCAGGGCCAAGAGCUCUGAAGAAAACCAGUCCGGGAGGGAACCUUCUGUGGGGCUGAAGUGAGGCGAUACAGGCCACUUCCUCUUUUUGUUGGGGAUGCUUUCCUUUGUGUUUGAGAACUGGGACAAGG